Long non-coding RNA from Leptonychotes weddellii (Weddell seal), 530 nucleotides. RefSeq lists it as uncharacterized. NCBI's taxonomy places the organism in Eukaryota, Metazoa, Chordata, Mammalia, Carnivora, Phocidae. The record is from RefSeq and is a predicted model, not a curated record.
AGAGGGUCGGGACUGGACCUGGCCGCGGGCCGGGUGGACCUAGCCGAGGUCCGCGCGGGUGCGAGGGAGGGUCCGGACCUCCCGAGCGAGGGGCGGGGCAAAGGUGGAUGAGCUCUGGGCACUGGUCGGCUGCCUCUGAACGGGCCCGGAGCCUGCGGGCAUACGCCCGCGUCUCCACUCACGUGACGUUGGACUCAGGGACCUUACCCCCUGGAGGCUUGGAGAAAUAAAAAUAGAAAGAAGGCUGGUGCACGGGAAACUUGUGUGUGGAUCCGGACAGUGCUGCCCACCUGCUGUAUGAGCAGAGCUGCUAAUCUCUCCACUGCUCUUCUCUAUCUUUGGUAAUGUGGUCACUCCUCCCUGUUGUAUCUACUACAGGACAUCCGCAAUCUGGAAAGAAACCAAGGUGGGAGUGAAAAUGAAAAUACAACAGCUGUUAAAAUGCUGGAAUGAUGAAUAAUAACUCAGCAGGGCUCUGGAGUUGUAAAUUCUGACACUUAUUUUCCCAAAUAAAGCACCCUGAAAAUUUA